CCUACGGUGGCUGCAGUGGGGAAUAUUGCACAAUGGGCGCAAGCCUGAUGCAGCCAUGCCGCGUGUGUGAUGAAGGCCUUCGGGUUGUAAAGCACUUUCAGCGGGGAGGAAGGCGGUGAGGUUAAUAACCUCAUCGAUUGACGUUACCCGCAGAAGAAGCACCGGCUAACUCCGUGCCAGCAGCCGCGGUAAUACGGAGGGUGCAAGCGUUAAUCGGAAUUACUGGGCGUAAAGCGCACGCAGGCGGUCUGUCAAGUCGGAUGUGAAAUCCCCGGGCUCAACCUGGGAACUGCAUUCGAAACUGGCAGGCUAGAGUCUUGUAGAGGGGGGUAGAAUUCCAGGUGUAGCGGUGAAAUGCGUAGAGAUCUGGAGGAAUACCGGUGGCGAAGGCGGCCCCCUGGACAAAGACUGACGCUCAGGUGCGAAAGCGUGGGGAGCAAACAGGAUUAGAUACCCCAGUAGUC
Molecule: ribosomal RNA, 464 nt
Filed under: uncultured Klebsiella sp.
Lineage: Bacteria; Pseudomonadati; Pseudomonadota; Gammaproteobacteria; Enterobacterales; Enterobacteriaceae
Description: bacterial SSU rRNA
Rfam family: Bacterial small subunit ribosomal RNA
Source: RNAcentral